This 253-nucleotide ribosomal RNA is filed under the name uncultured bacterium. Its description in RNAcentral is "partial 16S ribosomal RNA". It matches the Rfam family "Bacterial small subunit ribosomal RNA", at positions 524 to 776 of the family's 1533-position model. The record is from RNAcentral.
UACGGAGGGAGCUAGCGUUAUUCGGAAUUACUGGGCGUAAAGCGCACGUAGGCGGCUUUGUAAGUUAGAGGUGAAAGCCUGAAGCUCAACUCCAGAAUUGCCUUUAAGACUGCAUCGCUUGAAUCCAGGAGAGGUGAGUGGAAUUCCGAGUGUAGAGGUGAAAUUCGUAGAUAUUCGGAAGAACACCAGUGGCGAAGGCGGCUCACUGGACUGGUAUUGACGCUGAGGUGCGAAAGCGUGGGGAGCAAACAGG